UAAGGACGAGGAAGUUUUUGAGGA
RNAcentral lists this small nuclear RNA (24 nucleotides) under Arabidopsis thaliana (thale cress). Its description in RNAcentral is "snRNA_00176". The record is from RNAcentral. Lineage: Eukaryota; Viridiplantae; Streptophyta; Magnoliopsida; Brassicales; Brassicaceae.